AUUGCAAUGUUGAAGGUCACUAAAGAAGAAAUUGUCCGGCCUAUCAGGCGACUGUCAAGAGCAGGAAGAAGGAUGGGACUUCUAAAGGUACAUCUGAAAUGCUAGUUAUUGAAACUAAUCUAACGAUUUUCUCUUCUUCUAGUUGGGUUCUUGAUUCUAGUUCAAGUACUCAUUUGUGCACUUCAAUGUAGGGUUUUGAAGAAAUUAGGGGGC
Molecule: long non-coding RNA, 213 nt
Filed under: Elaeis guineensis (African oil palm)
Lineage: Eukaryota; Viridiplantae; Streptophyta; Magnoliopsida; Arecales; Arecaceae
Description: long non-coding RNA (EGUI_LNC062062)
Source: RNAcentral